This 460-nucleotide ribosomal RNA is filed under the name uncultured bacterium. Its description in RNAcentral is "partial 16S ribosomal RNA". It matches the Rfam family "Bacterial small subunit ribosomal RNA", at positions 338 to 795 of the family's 1533-position model. The record is from RNAcentral.
CCUACGGGAGGCAGCAGUGAGGAAUAUUGGUCAAUGGACGAGAGUCUGAACCAGCCAAGUAGCGUGAAGGAUGACUGCCCUAUGGGUUGUAAACUUCUUUUAUAUGGGAAUAAAAUGUUCCACGUGUGGGAUUUUGUAUGUACCAUAUGAAUAAGGAUCGGCUAACUCCGGGCCAGCAGCCGCGGUAAUACGGAGGAUCCGAGCGUUAUCCGGAUUUAUUGGGUGUAAAGGGAGCGUAGGUGGAUUGUUAAGUCAGUAGUGAAAGUUUGCGGCUCAACCGUAAAAUUGCAGUUGAAACUGGCAGUCUUGAGUACAGUAGAGGUGGGCGGAAUUCGUGGUGUAGCGGUGAAAUGCUUAGAUAUCACGAAGAACUCCGAUUGCGAAGGCAGUUCACUGGACUGCAACUGACACUGAGGCUCGAAAGUGUGGGUAUCAAACAGGAUUAGAUACCCCAGUAGUC